RNAcentral lists this ribosomal RNA (96 nucleotides) under uncultured bacterium. Its description in RNAcentral is "partial 16S ribosomal RNA". It matches the Rfam family "Bacterial small subunit ribosomal RNA", at positions 395 to 508 of the family's 1533-position model. The record is from RNAcentral.
UGCCGCGUGAGUGAAGAAGGUCUUCGGAUUGUAAAGCUCUUUCGACGGGGACGAUGAUGACGGUACCCGUAGAAGAAGCCCCGGCUAACUUCGUGC